UCAAGCUACUAAGGGCCCCAAAUGGAUGCCUCGGCAGUGGGUGGCGAUGAAGGGCGUGGCUAGCUGCGAUAAGCCCCGGGGAGGUGCCAGCAACCUGUGAUCCGGGGAUUCCCGAAUGGGGCAACCUGGUAGGAUUAAUAUCCUAUCAUCCUUAGGGGCAACCCUAAGGAGGCGAACCCCCCGAAGUGAAACAUCUCAGUAGGGGGAGGAAAAGAAAGAAAAUUCGAUUCCCUGAGUAGCGGCGAGCGAAAGGGGAAGAGCCCAAACCGACCUGGGUGUUAAAGGCGGCAGCCGUUGCCCAGGCGGGGUAGUGGGACUUAACCGUGCCAGCUGCCGGGAGGCAGGGAAGUUACAAAACAUCUUGGAUAGCCGAACCGUCCUGGAAAGGCGGGCCACAGAAGGUGAUAGCCCUGUAGGCGAAAUCCAAGAUGUCUUCCUUGGUUAAGUUCCCAAGUACCGCGGGGCCCGUGGAACCCUGCGGGAAUCUGGGAGGACCACCUCCUAAGGCUAAAUACAACCCACUGACCGAUAGUGAACUAGUACCGUGAGGGAAAGGUGAAAAGAACCCCGGGAGGGGAGUGAAAUAGAACCUGAAAUUUGGGGCCUACAAUCAGCAGGAGCUCUGAAUUUCUUUGCCCUUUUGGGUUUUAGAAAUUCAGAGUGACUGCGUGCCUUUUGCAUAAUGAGCCGGCGAGUUAAUGUCGGGAGCGAGGUUAAGUCCAGUGUUAAUAGCACUGGAUGGAGCCGUAGCGAAAGCGAGUCCGAAAAGGGCGCUAAGUUCUCGGCAUUAGACCCGAAACCCGGUGAGCUACCCAUGGGCAGGGUGAAAUCGGCGUAACAGCCGGUGGAGGCCCGAACCGGUGGGUGUUGCAAUACCCUCGGAUGACCUGUGGGUAGGAGUGAAAGGCUAACCAAACCGGGUGAUAGCUGGUUCUCCCCGAAAUGCCUCUAGGGGCAGCCUCCGGAUUGUAUAGCGGAGGUAGAGCACUGGAUGGGUAACCCUGAACUCUGUUCAGGGAAGCCCAACCAAACUCCGAAUGCCGCUAUACUUAUCCGGGGAGAGAGGCGGUGGGGGAUAAGCUCCAUCGCCGAGAGGGGAAUAACCCAGACUACCGGCUAAGGCCCCAAAGUACUGGCUAAGUGGGAAAGGAGGUUGAGCUACUCAGACAGCUGGGAGGUUGGCUUAGAAGCAGCCAUCCUUUAAAGAGUGCGUAACAGCUCACCAGCCGAGUGGCUCAGCGCCGAAAAUUUACCGGGGCUUAAGCCAGUCGCCGAAGCCGUAGGCUUCCUUGGUUUAACCAAGGAAGCGGUAGGGGAGCGUUCCGCAGUAGGUUGAAGGCAUGGCGCAAGCCAUGCUGGACGAAGCGGAAGUGAUUAUGCCGGCACGAGUAGCGAUAAACCGGGUGAGAAUCCCGGUCGCCGGAAGCCCAAGGGUUUCUGGGGAAGGUUCGUCCGCCCAGAGUUAGCCGGGACCUAAGCCGAGGCCGAAAGGCGUAGGUGAUGGAAAAGCCGUCAACAUUCGGCUGCCACCUUAAUGCCGUUAUGAGCUAUGGGGUGACGCAGGAGGAAUGGCCGAGCCGUCUGUUGGCUUAGGCGGUCUAAGCUACGGUGAUGGGGCAUAGGCAAAUCCGUGCCCAUAAUUCACUGUAGCGAUGGGGAGUCUGUGGUUUUUCCACAGACGAACUCGGCCGGACCGAAUGCCGAGAAAAACCUCUAUGCCAGGCAUUAAGGUGCCCGUACCGGAAACCGACACAGGUGGGCGAGGAGAGUAUCCACAGGCGCGCGGGAUAACCCCCGUUAAGGAACUCGGCAAUUUGACCCCGUAACUUCGGGAGAAGGGGUGCCCUUUGGGGUGUAAAAAGCCUCGGAGGGCCGCAGUGAAGUGGGCCUGCCGACUGUUUAACAAAAACACAGGGCUCUGCCAAGCCGUAAGGCGAAGUAUAGGGCCUGACGCCUGCCCGGUGCCAGAAGGUUAAGGGAGGGGGUUAGCCGCAAGGCGAAGCUCCCGACCAAAGCCCUGGUAAACGGCGGCCGUAACUCUAACGGUCCUAAGGUAGCGAAAUUCCUUGUCGGGUAAGUUCCGACCUGCAUGAAUGGCGUAACGAGUGGGCCAGUGUCUCGACGGGGGACCCGGCGAAACUGUAGUGGCGGUGAAGAUGCCGCCUGCCCGCGAUCGGACAAAAAGACCCCGUGAACCUUUACUGCAGCCUGAUAUUGGGUUUCGGCAAAUCCUGUGUAGGAUAGGUGGGAGGCUGUGAAGCCCGGACGCCAGUUCGGGUGGAGCCGUCGGUGAAAUACCACCCUGGAUUUGUUGAAAUCCUAACCCUGACUGGUGAAUCCCAGCGGGGGACAGUGUCAGGUGGGCAGUUUGACUGGGGCGGUCGCCUCCUAAAAGGUAACGGAGGCGCCCAAAGGUCGGCUCAGCACGGACGGUAACCGUGUGGAGAGCGCAAGGGUAUAAGCCGGCCUGACUGCGAGACCGACAGGUCGAGCAGACGCGAAAGCGGGGCCUAGUGAUCCGGUGGUCCUGUGUGGAAGGGCCAUCGCUCAGCGGAUAAAAGGUACUCCGGGGAUAACAGGCUGAUCGGGCCCGAGAGUCCCCAUCGACGGCCCGGUUUGGCACCUCGAUGUCGGCUCAUCGCAUCCUGGGGCUGAAGCAGGUCCCAAGGGUUGGUCUGUUCGCCCAUUAAAGCGGUACGUGAGCUGGGUUCAGAGCGUCGUGAGACAGCUCGGACUCUAUCCAUCGCGGGCGUAGGAGACUUGAGGGAAGCUGUCCCUAGUACGAGAGGACCGGGACGGACGGACCUCUGGUGUACCAGCUGUGGCGCCAGCCGCAUCGCUGGGUAGCCAUGUCCGGAAGGGAUAACCGCUGAAAGCAUCUAAGCGGGAAGCCCCUCCCAAGAUAAGGUCUCCCUGAAGGCCCCAGGUAGACUACCUGGUUGAUAGGCCCCAGGUGUAAGACCCGCAAGGGUUUUAGCCGAGGGGUACUAAUAGGCCGUUCGGCUUGAA
This 3009-nucleotide ribosomal RNA is filed under the name Caldifarciminota bacterium. RNAcentral describes it as "candidate division WOR-3 bacterium (hot springs metagenome) 23S ribosomal RNA". It matches the Rfam family "Bacterial large subunit ribosomal RNA". Lineage: Bacteria; Pseudomonadati; Caldifarciminota. The record is from RNAcentral.